CCUACGGGUGGCUGCAGUGGGGAAUAUUGCACAAUGGGCGCAAGCCUGAUGCAGCCAUGCCGCGUGUGUGAAGAAGGCCUUCGGGUUGUAAAGCACUUUCAGCGGGGAGGAAGGCGUUAAGGUUAAUAACCUUGUCGAUUGACGUUACCCGCAGAAGAAGCACCGGCUAACUCCGUGCCAGCAGCCGCGGUAAUACGGAGGGUGCAAGCGUUAAUCGGAAUUACUGGGCGUAAAGCGCACGCAGGCGGUCUGUCAAGUCGGAUGUGAAAUCCCCGGGCUCAACCUGGGAACUGCAUUCGAAACUGGAAGGCUAGAGUCUUGUAGAGGGGGGUAGAAUUCCAGGUGUAGCGGUGAAAUGCGUAGAGAUCUGGAGGAAUACCGGUGGCGAAGGCGGCCCCCUGGACAAAGACUGACGCUCAGGUGCGAAAGCGUGGGGAGCAAACAGGAUUAGAUACCCUAGUAGUC
RNAcentral lists this ribosomal RNA (465 nucleotides) under uncultured Klebsiella sp. RNAcentral describes it as "bacterial SSU rRNA". It matches the Rfam family "Bacterial small subunit ribosomal RNA", at positions 338 to 795 of the family's 1533-position model. Lineage: Bacteria; Pseudomonadati; Pseudomonadota; Gammaproteobacteria; Enterobacterales; Enterobacteriaceae. The record is from RNAcentral.